Molecule: ribosomal RNA, 401 nt
Filed under: uncultured Gammaproteobacteria bacterium
Lineage: Bacteria; Pseudomonadati; Pseudomonadota; Gammaproteobacteria
Description: bacterial SSU rRNA
Rfam family: Bacterial small subunit ribosomal RNA
Source: RNAcentral
GAGUUUGAUCAUGGCUCAGAUUGAACGCUGGCGGCAGGCCUAACACAUGCAAGUCGAGCGGCAGCGCGGGGCAACCUGGCGGCGAGCGGCGGACGGGUGAGUAACGCGUAGGAAUCUACCCAGUAGCGGGGGAUAGCCCGGGGAAACUCGGAUUAGUACCGCAUACGCCCUAAGGGGGAAAGCAGGGGAUCUUCGGACCUUGCACUAUUGGCAGAGCCUGCGUUGGAUUAGCUAGUUGGUAGGGUAAAGGCCUACCAAGGCAACGAUCCAUAACUGGUCUGAGAGGAUGAUCAGUCACACCGGAACUGAGACACGGUCCGGACUCCUACGGGAGGCAGCAGUGGGGAAUAUUGGACAAUGGGGGCAACCCUGAUCCAGCCAUGCCGCGUGUGUGAAGAAGG